Molecule: long non-coding RNA, 596 nt
Organism: Perca fluviatilis (European perch)
Lineage: Eukaryota; Metazoa; Chordata; Actinopteri; Perciformes; Percidae
Exons: 4
Source: RefSeq, a predicted model, not a curated record
CCACAGGUGCAGAAGGCAUUCCUUUGCUUGAAAUCUGACUGGAAAUCAGAUUCUCAUAUUCCGUCAGCAAAAGAUGAGCAGAGUGGGUCCGGGUCUCUUGGGGACACAGGAAGAGCCUGCUGUGGAUCUUAAUAAGGAGGAUGAGAGCCAGAGAUUCCUAUCUCACAGCAUCAUCUGAUUUUUGACCCUCAUGUGAAGUACCUAUGAAGUACCUGCCUCCAUCUUACCCUUCGCUCUGUUUUGUCUGGCAGUUGAUGAUGAUGUCAUGUCGGGGGUUAUGAAGUGAUGAUUUCGGCAGUGCACAGCAGCAGCUUGGAAACGACUUGGAAGCUACUACUGUAAUGCAGUCUGAAUCGGCCACAUGUCACUCACUAUUUCAUACUUGUUCCAUUGUCUGACGACAGAAACAGAAAGUAUGCGAAUGAGAACAGUUUUAUUGGGAACGUGGGUGCAAUAAAAUAGUAUAUAUGUGGACACAGAGUAGGUGAGAAGCAGACGUGAAGAACUGACACUGGCUGACACUAGACAGGGCGCAAACACAACGUGAUUAUGUCACAAAUAUGCUAAUUUGCGCAUGGCGCCAUCUAGCAAAACUU